AGAUCUACUGCCGGUGGAAGAACUACAAACGAAGUUCAAACUUCUCGUCGACGUAUAUCCGACGAAGUAAGAAAUUUGUAAGGGUUAGAGAGGAGCCUGGAGUCUCGCAAUAUUUCCUUGGAAAGUCUCGCGGCACGGCACGGCACGGCACGGCACAGCACGGCUGGAAUAACACCGGUGAUGCAGCAGAGAGAACGGCGAGAAGUAAAAGACUCGGAAGUUGAUGUGUAAAAGACGACGUGCUAUGAAAGACAAACAAAAAGAAGAAGAAAGAAAGAAAGAAAAAAUGAAUGAAGGAAAAAAAAAGAAAAAAAAGGGAGAAAGACGUUUCAGAAAGUUCCUCUUCCGAAGAAAGAACACGCGAAUCGCUUGCAUACCGAAGCGCAUCGAGAGAAAGCAUUUCUUCGUUCGUUAUUUUCCCAAUAGAUGUUGAAAGAAGAAGAAAGACAAUCGUUAAUAAAAAAGAUAUCGAUGAAUGGCGACGAAAUUGAUUGACCAAAAAGAUAAAAAAAUCUUCGAACUCAUUCAAUUUCAGAUUAUAGAGGAGAAUUGGUAAUUAUCUGCAUAACUUGGCUCUAUUAUUUUCUUCGUUAUCUUUUUAAUUUUUUUUUAUUUUUUUUUUUUUUUUUUAUCAAUACGAAUGUAAUAAAAUAUGUAUAUGGUGUGUAUGUGCGUGUGUAUAGAUAUAUCUAUGCGUGGCACGGAUUCUCACUCGUAGGAACGCGGAAUGCCUUUGAGCGCAUUGCCACUCGUAGAAAUAUUGCUUAUCUCGCAUAUAUAAUUGAAGGGGCGAGGUAAAACAGGAACAGUCGUUCAUGGAAAUAAAAAAAAAAAAAGAAAAAGAUAUAUAUAUAUACAUUACUUCCGGAAUGUUCGGUAUUUCUCGAUUUAUCCCGUAGAAAUUCUCGAAGUAUGAGAAGAAAAGUCAAUUAAAUUUGUUUAUAUCCUUCCAUUUUUACUAACAUUUUUUUUUUUGUCUCUAUCUCGACUCGAGCUAAGAAUUCGAAGAAAAAGAGGAAGAAAAAGCAAAAGAGAUACACCAUUGGACUCUUUAAUCGAUCUGUUAUAAGCAAGAAAUUUCGUCGUUGUUUGCGUUUGAAAAAAAAAAAAGAAAAGGAAAGAAGAAACAACUUUCUUUCAUAAAGAAUCAGUGCAUCGUCGCGCGUAAUUAAACUCAACGAUUUUAGGAGAAAUCCUUUCCGAUAGAAUGCCCGCUUUCUACAAUGUUUUAUGGAAGGGAGGGAUAAACAAGAGAGAGAGAGAGAGAGAGAGAGAGAGAGAAAGAGAGAGAGAAAUAGGAAGAAAAGGAAGAGAACACAAUACAUUGUGCUGACGCAAAUCGGUACGAUCGAAAUCGUCGAGGCAGACUUCCUCCUCCGAACGUAGUUAAGUAUAUUUGUUGAACGAAAGGAAGGAUUUUUCAAAUCUUAUGUGUCGAUCGAUCAUUACGAAUCUCUUUGAGUCUAUUUUCUCAUGAUGACUUUCGCAAAGAAAGUCGAAUCGAUCGUAAAGAGAUUCGAAAGAAGAUCCGGUAUUAUUUAUACCAGGCAUAAUAUAUUUACUACUGUAUUCGACGUUUACGUGCUUUCACGCCUGAUAAUUAUUCAUCGCAUUCCAAUAACGUACGAACAAACAUUCCUGAUUCGAGGUCAUCUUUAACCUAUAACUAGAUGGCUAAAGUAUUUACCAAUUACUACAAUAUAUACUCGAUGCAGGCGCACGAACGGGAACGCACGUGCCAUCGACUAAAGAGUCUCAAAGAUGAAAGAGAAAAGUUUCUUUCAAAAAUGAUGUUGCGUAGUGAGCGAGGAAAGGAUAGGUGGGUGCUUCGGAUGAUUGAACCGAAUGAAUGGAUAGAAGAAAAGAAAGGGGUAUAGAUAUAUAUUUCUAGUGGAUCAUGAAAAAUGACGAAUUAAUGGGUAGGCAUUGAGAAGGAAUAAAUGAAAAAUGAGAUUAGAGUUAUUUCGCCCUGUUAUUUAACGUUCACUAAAAUGAUCACCGUUAACAUACUCGUCCCUUCGUAAGUUUCUCCUCAAUGGAAUUCCUUCCUCUCGUUGGAAGUAAGGAAGGAAUUCCAAAAGGAAUGGAAAGAUAAGGAGAGAAACGUAAAGGAGUAGGGGGUUCCCCCAAGACUUGCGCCCGCGCGCGAGCGCGUGCAUGCGCGCGCGCAAAUCUUAACCCGGUUACAAAAGUGCAAGAUUUUCGUCGAAUCGCGACGAUCGGUUAAAAUUCCCGUUUGUCGGGAUAGUCUCGACCUUAAAAGACAUGCUCGAGGAGAGGCUCGAUCAAGAGGAGAAACUCUUUCGAGGAAUCUCACCGUGAUUCCUCUCUCUUGCGUCUUUGGGAUCGUUAAAGUAUAAUCUUGCUACGUAAGUUUUCUCUCUCUCUCUCUCUUUCUCUCUCUUUCUCUUUAUCUAUCUCUCUCGCACGCUCGUUCGCUCAUUCUUUUUCUUACUUACUUACUUACUUACUGACGAGUGUAGAUAUGCGCGUGCGCGCGAACGCGAAGCAAUUGGAGCACGAUGAAGGAAAAAAGAAGGAGGCUACAUCGACGCAAGGUCAGAUUCUUCUUCCCACCCUCCGCUUGGUACUCUUGAAGAAGGCGACAACGGCACCGCUACAACACGUUCCUUCAAAAUACCUACGCGUCCUCAUAAUCCUUGCUCCUUUGACCGACGAGUUUCCUCUUCGGUUCGGAGCAUACUCGACGAAAAUUAAUAUCCAAGGAAGAUUUUCUAUUCUCUCUCUCUCUCUCUCUCUAUCUUUCUCUCUCUCUCUCUCUCUCUCUUUCCCUCUCUCUCUCUCUCUCUCUCUCUCUCCCUCUCUCUCUCUCUCUGUUUCUGUCUUUCUCUUUCUCUUUCUCGUUUAUCCUCGAGUAAUCAUUGACGACAAGAAAAGUAAUGAUGCCAAGACGGCAGCAUCGAAAUGGAAAACAGCUUUUCCCAAGUUCGAGGAGGGAUCCUUCUGGUUUGCUUCUUUCUUCCGGUUACACGGCCGCGAUGGUUACGACCGUGCAUUGAAAUCACCGAACGUACCGAGUAGUAUGUACCUCAUGUACGGCACCGAAAUUUUUCUCCUUAACUCGCACCACUUUCUUCGCGCAUACCAGCCGUACAUUAACGCUGAGAUUAAAUGAAAGCAGGAAGGAGAAAAUACGGAAGGUCGAGAUAAAUGAGAGCGUGGCCAACACCGGCCAGGCACCUGUCCACGGAGUCGAUGUCUUCGAUCUAUCUAGGACAACGAUGCGUUCGAUGAGGUCCAAUGUAUUUUCUUUCUUAAAGGGGCCCUCGCGUAACUUGCCAUUCGAUAAACUUUUCAAUAAAAAUUUUGAAUCUAUUAAAGACCGGCUGGAAAAAUAUUCUUGCCAACGAGCACGACGUAUACGCGAGACGAUACGACUUCAAAUCGUCCACCUGCCUUCGUCGACGUUCCGAGAAGGUCUGAGGUGAGAGGGACGGCCAUUUUGAGGUACCACGGUGAACGCAGGUGGCGCUACGUGUUCAAGAUCUCGUCCUCCGG
Vespa velutina is the source of this 3519-nucleotide RNA transcript. RefSeq lists it as uncharacterized. The transcript is spliced from 3 exons. The record is from RefSeq and is a predicted model, not a curated record. Lineage: Eukaryota; Metazoa; Arthropoda; Insecta; Hymenoptera; Vespidae.